RNAcentral lists this ribosomal RNA (459 nucleotides) under uncultured bacterium. RNAcentral describes it as "partial 16S ribosomal RNA". It matches the Rfam family "Bacterial small subunit ribosomal RNA", at positions 338 to 795 of the family's 1533-position model. The record is from RNAcentral.
CCUACGGGAGACAGCAGUGAGGAAUAUUGGUCAAUGGCCGGAAGGCUGAACCAGCCAUGCCGCGUGAAGUUCAGUGCCCUAUGGGCGUUAAACUUCUUUUGUGCGGGAGCAAUAAUGGUCACGUGUGGCCAGACGAGAGUACCGUACGAAUAAGCAUCGGCUAACUCCGUGCCAGCAGCCGCGGUAAUACGUAGGGGGCGAGCGUUAUCCGGAAUUACUGGGUGUAAAGGGAGCGUAGACGGCGAGGUAAGCCUGAAGUGGAAGCCCGCGGCCCAACCGCGGAACUGCUUUGGGAACUGUUUUGCUGGAGUAUGGGAGGGGUAAGCGGAAUUCCUGGUGUAGCGGUGAAAUGCGUAGAUAUCAGGAGGAACACCGGUGGCGAAGGCGGCUUACUGGACAGCAACUGACGCUGAGGCGCGAAAGCGUGGGGAGCAAACAGGAUUAGAUACCCUUGUAGUC